RNAcentral lists this ribosomal RNA (395 nucleotides) under uncultured bacterium. RNAcentral's name for it is "bacterial SSU rRNA". It matches the Rfam family "Bacterial small subunit ribosomal RNA", at positions 28 to 431 of the family's 1533-position model. The record is from RNAcentral.
GACGAACGCUGGCGGCGUGCUUAACACAUGCAAGUCAAGGGGGCCCAGCAAUGGGCAACCGGCGAACGGGUGCGUAACACGUGAGCAACCUACCGAAAUGCGGGGGAUAGCCGGCCUAACGGCCGAGUAAUACCGCAUACGCUCUCGAUGAGGCAUUUCAUUGAGAGGAAACCUACGGGGUAUUUCGAGGGGCUCGCGGCCUAUCAGCUAGUUGGCGAGGUAACGGCUCACCAAGGCAACGACGGGUAGCUGGUCUGAGAGGAUGGCCAGCCACAUUGGGGACUGAGAUACGGCCCAGACUCCUACGGGAGGCAGCAGUGGGGAAUCUUGCGCAAUGGCCUAACGGCUGACGCAGCGACGCCGCGUGUGGGAUGAAGCUCUUCGGAGUGUAAACC